Molecule: ribosomal RNA, 3010 nt
Filed under: Salmonella enterica subsp. enterica serovar Weltevreden
Lineage: Bacteria; Pseudomonadati; Pseudomonadota; Gammaproteobacteria; Enterobacterales; Enterobacteriaceae
Description: bacterial LSU rRNA
Rfam family: Bacterial large subunit ribosomal RNA
Source: RNAcentral
ACUAAGCGUACACGGUGGAUGCCCUGGCAGUCAGAGGCGAUGAAGGGCGUGCUAAUCUGCGAUAAGCGCCGGUAAGGUGAUAUGAACCGUUAUAACCGGCGAUACCCGAAUGGGGAAACCCAGUGUGAUUCGUCACACUAUCAUUAACUGAAUCCAUAGGUUAAUGAGGCGAACCGGGGGAACUGAAACAUCUAAGUACCCCGAGGAAAAGAAAUCAACCGAGAUUCCCCCAGUAGCGGCGAGCGAACGGGGAGGAGCCCAGAGCCUGAAUCAGCAUGUGUGUUAGUGGAAGCGUCUGGAAAGGCGCGCGAUACAGGGUGACAGCCCCGUACACAAAAGCGCAUGUGCUGUGAGCUCGAUGAGUAGGGCGGGACACGUGGUAUCCUGUCUGAAUAUGGGGGGACCAUCCUCCAAGGCUAAAUACUCCUGACUGACCGAUAGUGAACCAGUACCGUGAGGGAAAGGCGAAAAGAACCCCGGCGAGGGGAGUGAAAAAGAACCUGAAACCGUGUACGUACAAGCAGUGGGAGCCCCACCACCAAAGCGUUUCGCUUUGUGUGGUGCACAAAGAAGCGUAACGACAGCACUGAAUGACGGUUAACGGAGCGCAAGCGACGUUCAACAUACAAAGUCAAGCAGUGGAGCGCUUUGGGGUGGGGUGACUGCGUACCUUUUGUAUAAUGGGUCAGCGACUUAUAUUCUGUAGCAAGGUUAACCGAAUAGGGGAGCCGGAGGGAAACCGAGUCUUAAUUGGGCGUUAAGUUGCAGGGUAUAGACCCGAAACCCGGUGAUCUAGCCAUGGGCAGGUUGAAGGUUGGGUAACACUAACUGGAGGACCGAACCGACUAAUGUUGAAAAAUUAGCGGAUGACCUGUGGCUGGGGGUGAAAGGCCAAUCAAACCGGGAGAUAGCUGGUUCUCCCCGAAAGCUAUUUAGGUAGCGCCUCGUGAAUUCAUCUCCGGGGGUAGAGCACUGUUUCGGCUAGGGGGCCAUCCCGGCUUACCAACCCGAUGCAAACUGCGAAUACCGGAGAAUGUUAUCACGGGAGACACACGGCGGGUGCUAACGUCCGUCGUGAAGAGGGAAACAACCCAGACCGCCAGCUAAGGUCCCAAAGUCAUGGUUAAGUGGGAAACGAUGUGGGAAGGCCCAGACAGCCAGGAUGUUGGCUUAGAAGCAGCCAUCAUUUAAAGAAAGCGUAAUAGCUCACUGGUCGAGUCGGCCUGCGCGGAAGAUGUAACGGGGCUAAACCAUGCACCGAAGCUGCGGCAGCGACGCUUAUGCGUUGUUGGGUAGGGGAGCGUUCUGUAAGCCUGUGAAGGUGGCCUGUGAGGGUUGCUGGAGGUAUCAGAAGUGCGAAUGCUGACAUAAGUAACGAUAAAGCGGGUGAAAAGCCCGCUCGCCGGAAGACCAAGGGUUCCUGUCCAACGUUAAUCGGGGCAGGGUGAGUCGACCCCUAAGGCGAGGCCGAAAGGCGUAGUCGAUGGGAAACGGGUUAAUAUUCCCGUACUUGGUGUUACUGCGAAGGGGGGACGGAGAAGGCUAUGUUGGCCGGGCGACGGUUGUCCCGGUUUAAGCGUGUAGGUGUGUGUUCCAGGUAAAUCCGGUUCACUUUAACACUGAGGCGUGAUGACGAGGCACUACGGUGCUGAAGCAACAAAUGCCCUGCUUCCAGGAAAAGCCUCUAAGCAUCAGGUAACAUCAAAUCGUACCCCAAACCGACACAGGUGGUCAGGUAGAGAAUACCAAGGCGCUUGAGAGAACUCGGGUGAAGGAACUAGGCAAAAUGGUGCCGUAACUUCGGGAGAAGGCACGCUGACACGUAGGUGAAGUGAUUUACUCAUGGAGCUGAAGUCAGUCGAAGAUACCAGCUGGCUGCAACUGUUUAUUAAAAACACAGCACUGUGCAAACACGAAAGUGGACGUAUACGGUGUGACGCCUGCCCGGUGCCGGAAGGUUAAUUGAUGGGGUCAGCGCAAGCGAAGCUCCUGAUCGAAGCCCCGGUAAACGGCGGCCGUAACUAUAACGGUCCUAAGGUAGCGAAAUUCCUUGUCGGGUAAGUUCCGACCUGCACGAAUGGCGUAAUGAUGGCCAGGCUGUCUCCACCCGAGACUCAGUGAAAUUGAACUCGCUGUGAAGAUGCAGUGUACCCGCGGCAAGACGGAAAGACCCCGUGAACCUUUACUAUAGCUUGACACUGAACAUUGAGCCUUGAUGUGUAGGAUAGGUGGGAGGCUUUGAAGCGUGGACGCCAGUCUGCGUGGAGCCGACCUUGAAAUACCACCCUUUAAUGUUUGAUGUUCUAACGUGGACCCGUGAUCCGGGUUGCGGACAGUGUCUGGUGGGUAGUUUGACUGGGGCGGUCUCCUCCUAAAGAGUAACGGAGGAGCACGAAGGUUGGCUAAUCCUGGUCGGACAUCAGGAGGUUAGUGCAAUGGCAUAAGCCAGCUUGACUGCGAGCGUGACGGCGCGAGCAGGUGCGAAAGCAGGUCAUAGUGAUCCGGUGGUUCUGAAUGGAAGGGCCAUCGCUCAACGGAUAAAAGGUACUCCGGGGAUAACAGGCUGAUACCGCCCAAGAGUUCAUAUCGACGGCGGUGUUUGGCACCUCGAUGUCGGCUCAUCACAUCCUGGGGCUGAAGUAGGUCCCAAGGGUAUGGCUGUUCGCCAUUUAAAGUGGUACGCGAGCUGGGUUUAGAACGUCGUGAGACAGUUCGGUCCCUAUCUGCCGUGGGCGCUGGAGAACUGAGGGGGGCUGCUCCUAGUACGAGAGGACCGGAGUGGACGCAUCACUGGUGUUCGGGUUGUCAUGCCAAUGGCACUGCCCGGUAGCUAAAUGCGGAAGAGAUAAGUGCUGAAAGCAUCUAAGCACGAAACUUGCCCCGAGAUGAGUUCUCCCUGAGACUUUAGGUCUCCUGAAGGAACGUUGAAGACGACGACGUUGAUAGGCCGGGUGUGUAAGCGCAGCGAUGCGUUGAGCUAACCGGUACUAAUGAACCGUGAGGCUUAACC